CCAUCGGCUCGACCCCCGGCUUCCAUCCUAGACCCCCAGAAACCACAAAAUUGUCCGAUUGUAGUGGACAAUUGCUUCCAUCAAAGCUCGGCUCCAUCUGAGAGAAACGAUAGCCCUCAUCGGUAUGCCCUAGCUGACCACAUAAAUAACACACCGCUGGAAUGUUCUUAUAAACAAAUGCCUACUAGAACACCCCUCUUUGCCCUCUAAUGAAGACUUUGGACUUCAAUGGCAUAGUGGC
This 241-nucleotide long non-coding RNA is filed under the name Elaeis guineensis (African oil palm). RNAcentral's name for it is "long non-coding RNA (EGUI_LNC023897)". Lineage: Eukaryota; Viridiplantae; Streptophyta; Magnoliopsida; Arecales; Arecaceae. The record is from RNAcentral.